CCUACGGGUGGCAGCAGUGAGGAAUCUUGCGCAAUGGACGCAAGUCUGACCCAGCCACGCCGCGUGCAGGAAGGCGGCUCUAUGAGUUGUAAACAGCUUUUGUACGAGGGGAAACGAAGAUGCGCGUAUCUUUCUGAAAGUAUGGUCCGAGUAAGGAUCGGCCACCUACGUACCAGCGGCCGCGGUAAUACGGAGGAUCCGAGCGUUAUCCGGAUGUAUUGGGUUUGAAGGGUGCGUAGGCGGCUUUGUAAGUCAGCGGUGAAAGUCUGUGGCUCAACCUGAGCAUUGCCGUUGAUACAGGGAGGCUUGAGUAUGGUUGAGGAAGGCGGAAUUCGUGGUGUAGCGGUGAAAUGCUUAGAUAUCAGGAGGAACACCGAUGGCGAAGGCGGCCUGC
RNAcentral lists this ribosomal RNA (394 nucleotides) under uncultured bacterium. RNAcentral's name for it is "partial 16S ribosomal RNA". It matches the Rfam family "Bacterial small subunit ribosomal RNA", at positions 338 to 729 of the family's 1533-position model. The record is from RNAcentral.